GAUGAACGCUGGCGGCGUGCCUAAUACAUGCAAGUCGAGCGAACAGACGAGGAGCUUGCUCCUCUGACGUUAGCGGCGGACGGGUGAGUAACACGUGGAUAACCUACCUAUAAGACUGGGAUAACUUCGGGAAACCGGAGCUAAUACCGGAUAAUAUAUUGAACCGCAUGGUUCAAUAGUGAAAGACGGUUUUGCUGUCACUUAUAGAUGGAUCCGCGCCGCAUUAGCUAGUUGGUAAGGUAACGGCUUACCAAGGCAACGAUGCGUAGCCGACCUGAGAGGGUGAUCGGCCACACUGGAACUGAGACACGGUCAAGACUCCUACGGGAGGCAGCAGUAGGGAAUCUUCCGCAAUGGGCGAAAGCCUGACGGAGCAACGCCGCGUGAAUGAUGAAGGUCUUCGGAUCGUAAAACUCUGUUAUUAGGGAAGAACAAAUGUGUAAGUAACUAUGCACGUCUUGACGGUACCUAAUCAGAAAGCCACGGCUAACUACGUG
Molecule: ribosomal RNA, 497 nt
Filed under: uncultured bacterium
Lineage: Bacteria
Description: partial 16S ribosomal RNA
Rfam family: Bacterial small subunit ribosomal RNA
Source: RNAcentral